AUUCUGGUGCAACCGCACGACCAUCGUUUCUAAGUAGCGCAAGCUCACGAUGCUAGGCGAGUCUUCACUGAGGA
Streptococcus sp. DD12 is the source of this 74-nucleotide regulatory RNA element. NCBI's taxonomy places the organism in Bacteria, Bacillati, Bacillota, Bacilli, Lactobacillales, Streptococcaceae. The record is from Rfam.